ACCUCCACGACUUAGAUUAUAGAUUCCUAUACGACUCUCAGUAAAAAUUUAUCCGCACUCCAGAUAGUUAAAACUUCUGUCGACCGUAUUGAUCCAUCUGCACUCUUCGUAUGACGUCAAUAUCUGUUCAGUGCUGCUGCGCAGGUUUCUUUGUGUUACGUCAAUUCGUUUGUGACCGUUGCGCGAGUAAUGGCGCUUUGCAAUGGUGAUUUGCAGGAAAACAGUGCAGGAUGCUGUGAUUCGUUUCUUGUGGUCGGAGGUUAUGUUUGAUGCCUAUAUUUAUCAAAGAUUUAAUGCACAUUAUGGAGAAAGUGUUUUGUCACGAAGUGUGUUUGAAUGGGCACAAAAGUUCAAAGAAGAUCGCACGAGUGUUAUGAAAAAACAGCUGGACGCCCGUCCACAUCCACGAUGACAACAUUGAACGUGCUCAUGAACUUAUGCUCUAUGGAAUAGACGAGUGACACUGGAUAAUGUGGCAAAUCAUUUGCAAAUCAGCCACGGCUCUGCUUAUGCAAUAGUGCACGACAGAUUUGGAUUUUAAAAAGUUUGUGCGAGAUGGAUGCCGAAAAAGCUGAUGAAAAGGUGAAGACGACGAUGCAUUCGUGGUUCGCAGCUCAGCCCAAAACAUUUUUUAAUGAGAAAAUACAAAGGUCCUUCGGCAAAUGGACAAAGUGUAUACAGAAAUCGAGUGAUUAUGUCAAAAAAUGAUGUAUGUCUUUUUUGACAAUUGCUUAAAAUAAAUUCUACACCGACAGAGCGGGCUGUUAAUCUAGAGGCUGGAGUACAAAGAAGUGGCACAAUGAUGUGGGCUGAUGACAUUUAUAAUUAUCAAGGAAUCACCCCUACAUUCGCUCAGAAUUUUAAUGAAACUGUCCCUUGGGAAGGAAGAACUGAUACCUUGAUAUCACGGUUUGUACAUCCUAUAUAUACGACAAAUUUUAGAACAUUAUAUAAUGAAGAACCAGAUCGUCGUGGCCAUGUGAUGUGAAUAAAAGGACUUGAAUUUGAUGAUAUUUUUAUAAUGUUAGAUAACAUAACUAAGUAUCUUCACAGUAAGAUAGGAUGACAUGGUUUACAUGAUCUUAAUGUUGUUCACUUGAGUGAUGAUAUUAUAAGGAAAAGUGUAAUAUCACAGGAUAUUUAUGUUUAGUAACCAGUAAUUCAGAGAUUGGUAUUCAUGGUUACUAUAACGAGGCUGUAGAAACGCACCCUUUCUUCUUUGCAAAUGGUCCUGUAUUUAUGUCUAAGCCGAAACUGGAACCUCUGAAUAAUUUAGAUUUAUUCUUGUUAUUUUCUAAAAUACUUAUCUACAGUAUACCAUAAGGAAUGAUACCGUAUCGCACCUAAUCAAGUGCCUUAAGAAACAUCAACAGGAUAUCACAGUAAUCCCUUAUCGACAGAUAUUUGUAGCCACUACAAUAUCUAUGACACUGGUAGUAAUUAUAAGAACAAUAAUGAUGUUCUAUAAGAGGAAAUGAUGAUUAGGAACAAAAACUUACAAGAGAUAUCAUGCGGUGGAUGGAUAAUAUGUAAAAAAUAUUAAGCAGUAUAUGAAUUUUCAUAUUGCGUAGAGAUAACAAAAUGAAUUUUAAAAAAUGUCGACAUAGUAAUAAGAAAUAGCAUCAUGACAAAGAAUAUAUAAAGACAGUUUCAUUUUUUAUAAAUAAAAAUUUGUUGUUCCAGAUUUUGAAAUAUAGUGAAACGUUUAAUUAGUAUCUUAAUAUCUUUAAAUAAUUAUUAUUUUAGAAUCAAUUGUAAUUGUAUCAUACGUACUUUUGAAUUCGUGCAAGAACAUAUGUAAUUUUGAAGUAGUUAUUAUUAGGAAAUUGUUAGACGCGAACAGUAUGCGAAAAGUUAGUAUGCAGUGUAAUAAUUAUCAAUCAAAACACAAGAAUUAAAUUCUUGAGGAAAAAAUUUCCGGAAUUUCUUAUUUACAUGAUUAUAAAGAAAUCCAUAAUAAAAAGGAGCUGCUUUCUAAUACUUCUCUUCCUUGUAAUGCCUACGUUAACAAUAACGAGGUUCGACUUCUUGUUUUUAGAGGGAUACUGGAAAAUUUGAAAGUACAGUACCAUUGGGAAGAAAAUCACGAUAUUGAAAACGAUAUUUGCAAAUUGAACAAUAUUCCAGAUUUAUUCAUAAUUUCAUACUACGCGAAGAAUAGACUUUCAUAGGUAUAUAAAGGAAAUAUUAAGUAUAGGAAAACUCUUCUUCGUUGUAGGUGACAUAUGCUUCACGGUUGAAUACAUGUAUUUUUGAACACAUAUAAAUGAAAAAGUACUCUUAUGGAGAAAAAGAAUUGAUACCUUCGAUUGACAUUAGAUAAUGUAUAUAAACUUAUGAACAAUCACUAUCAGUUUGUAUUUUAGGUGCACACGCAGAUUUGUUGGAGUUCUUAUAAAAUGUACUUCCUGUACGAACGUUUUAUUCUUCCAAAUUUUACGAUACUAUGUCUCAUAUAAUAACUUUAUGGAUUAAACGUAAUAUAAAUAAUCCGAAAAUAGACUCGAACGACAUUAAUUGUCUUUCUAUUUAUACCAAUAUGGAAAAUACAAGUAAAGCUGGAGCAAUAGUAUGCAAGAAUGGACUAUUUAUUAUUUUAAACCAAAUCAUAGCAUAUUCAGAAUGCACAGUAUUAUCAUGAAAUGUAAAUGAAUCAGUUGUAAACGAACGAUUUUACUGUAAAAUCAUUGCCUCCUUUUUUUCAUCUGAAAUAUAGCAGCAAUGAGUACAUUCUUUUAAUAUAUAAUAAAACGAGAUAUCUUUAUAAAGUUACAUAUGUCAUCACUGGUAACUGUUAUCUCGUAUGACAUCAAAUAUACCGUUAGUAUGGAAUGAUAUUUUUAUGAAGAUAUACUUUAAUGAUAGAUUUUAUGAAUGAAACGUUAUAUAAGAAAAAUUAUCUCUUGUUAUUCUAUGAAGUGUAGUAGCUAAUGAAGAUUAAUUUUACGAAGUAUUAGAGCAAAAGAGAAUUAAAAAAUUAAAAAGAUCUAAAUAAGA
Bombus huntii is the source of this 2997-nucleotide long non-coding RNA. RefSeq lists it as uncharacterized. The transcript has 8 exons. Lineage: Eukaryota; Metazoa; Arthropoda; Insecta; Hymenoptera; Apidae. The record is from RefSeq and is a predicted model, not a curated record.